AUGUCUCUGCCCAGCGUGGGUCACCCCUGCCACGCCACUCGGGCGAGACGAAAGAGGCACAACUGCUCGGGUAACACCAACUCCUGCAAGUGGGAAGGACAUAGCGAGGCGGGGGGGAUAAAAAUCCUUAGGGCAAUUGGAAGUGGGAAUUCCAAACCCCGGAGCGCCCGGCCGGCAGCGGCAGUGCCGGGGGUGGGGCCGUUCCGCCCCGGGGCUCGGGGAGGGGACAGAUCCCUGCCGAGGGAUGGACCCGACCCGACCCGAGCUGUCCUGAGGGGCGGCCCCGGGAGGGGCAGCUCGGUCCGGUCCGGUCCGGUCCGGCGGUGCGGGCGCUGCGGGACGGAGCCGCGCUCUCGGCCGAGUUGUAGAAGGAACAUGAAGCCUGCCAUAGAGGCAGAAGGUCAGUAGAUUGGGAGUUCAGAGAUCACUUUCAAACAACCCAGAAUUAAUUUCUACAUCUGGCUACAGGUAAGAAGAACUUGGGGAUGCUGGGCCCUGCUGUUGGUGAACAGAGGAGGGCUGGUGGGAGAUGUGAUGGUUGGAGUCUGUCUUGGGCAUAGUGCUCUUGAAAUGAGAGUUUUCAAUGGACUUCCAGACUUUGGUCUGUUCAGGUCACUGGUUGAGGCAGUCCCUUGGGAAGCAGUCCUGAGAGGCAGGGGGUGCAGGAAGGCUGGAUGUUACCCAAGAACAGCAUCUGAAAGGCACAGGAGCAGGCCAGCCCAAUGUGCCAUAAGACAAGCCAGCAGGGAGGAAAACUGGCCUGGAUGAACAGGGAGCUUUUGGUUCAACUCAAGGGGAAAAAAAAAAUACCAGAAGGGGCAAGUGGCUCAGGAGUAUUACAAGGGUGUCAUGGGGUUAUGCAGGGAGAAAGUCAAAAGGCCAAAGGCCCAGCUAGAAUUUAAUCUGGCAAGUACCACAAGAGAUCACAACAAUUUUUUUCCCAAAUACAUUAAUAACAGAGAGCCAAGGAGACUCUCCAUCCUUUAUUGCAUGUGAAGGAAAAUAUUGCCUCCAAGGAUGAGGAAAAGGCUGAGGUACUUGAUGCCUUCUUUGCUUCAGUCUUUAAAUGAAGGACCAGUUAUUAUCAGGGUGUCAAACCCCCUGAGCUGGAAGAUAGGGACAGGAUAAUCCCCCUGUAAUCCAGGAGGAAACUGUGACCUCCUGCUCCACUUAAAAUUUCACAAUUGUGGGGUCAGGUGGGAUCCACUCAAGGGGACUGAGGGAGCUGGAGGACGAGCUCACAGAGCUGCUCUCCAUCAUUUGCUGGUGAAUUGGGGAAGUCCCAGAUGACUGGGGAUUAGCCAAUGUGACACCCAUCUACAAGAAGGCUGAAAGGAGGAUCUGGAGAGCCACAAGCCCAUGAGCCUGACCUCAAUGCCAAGGAAGGCUGUGGAACAGAUCAUACUCAGCAUGACCACACGAUCACAAGAGGCAGGUCCUGCUCAGCAAACCUGAUCCUACAAAUUUCUGACUAAGUAUAGCAGCGUUACUGACCAUUUUCCCUUCAUCUUGGGCUCCUGCUUAUUGUAUUCAGGGAGGCUGAUUGCAACAUAAUGAUGUUGCUAUGUCUGGCUUAUCUGAUUUUCUGUUUGUGGCCAUUAAUUAGGUACGUCAUUGGUAUGCUCAGUUGCAAAUAACAGAGCCUGUAGAUACUUUUUCUGGACAGCUUCAGUGAGAUGGCAUCAUAUCUGUGGCUGCUUUGUGAUCUGGGAAUCAGCAACUAUCAAAACUGCUGCAUCAUUUCUUCCCACAACCUGUUUAUUUUUUUGUAGAAACUUGCUAAUCUCAUUCUCUGACUCUUUGCUGUAGCUUGCUUUUAAUGCAACUUAUCCCACAGAGUGUCUAUCCAGCAUUUCAUUACAGCUAUACAAGAGGGUGUUUAUACUUCUUGCUUUUAUUUCAGGAGAAAACUUAGUUCUAAACCCACUGUAAGUGAAUUGGAUAUUGCAGGGUUCAUUCUGGAAAAGUGAAGUCAUGAUAAAUACAGAAGAUGCAGUUAAAGACAGGUGCCUUAAAUGUCCUCUGCUUUCAAAAGGUUGCAGUAUUUUAUUGGUCUAAGGUACUCCAUUUAAAAUAUUUGCUCUCCUCUUACCUUAAACAUUCACAUGUGCUUGGUCUGCCAUCCUCUCUAUAUUCAGGAGGAGGAGCUCUAAAGCUGUUGGUAAAAUGCUAAAAAUUAAUUCCCCUAAAUACUAGGGGAAUUUGCUGGUCAUGUUUCCCUGUGGAGCACCACUCUGUGUUUCUAUGCCUAGCAGACUGAUUAGUCACCUACUAAAUGCUGUUAUUGUCAAAUCUCACCUCUUCUACUCUCAUUAGCAAUGUAAACAUGGAGGAAAUGGAGAUAUUCAGCUGUUUUCUGGUGGGUCCCCAAAAUACUUCUAUCAGGCUGCAUGUGAUGGGUGAUAUUUAUUGUUCCAGACCCUUAGCAGCUACCUAGGUAUGCAGCAGUACUUUGCUGGACCUUUCCCCCUCUUCUCUGUUUUUUGUUACCAAAUUUGUAGCAAAUUUACAAACAGCCCCUCAGGUGUUUUGCAGUUCCUAUGUCCACAUAUUCACUUGAAAGAACAUCGCUAAUCUCAAGGGUAUUUGGUUCCUUACCCUGAAGACAACAGGGGUUGGUGCAAACACUUUUUCCAAGGCUUACCAGAGCUGUGUUGCUGUGUUUGUGCUGGAUGUACAUUCAAACAUAGCUUUUAUAUUUUAAUGCCAUAAAAUAGUUGAAGUCUUGAUAAAAAUACACAGCACUGACAAGCAGUAAUAAAACAAAGAAAGAAGUGAAGUUAUACCACAAUGUACCACAAUGCAUUUAGCCCUUGAAGACUGGAUGUUCAUGACAAAUUCUGGUUGAUCUGCUUUGCUACCCCAGCAGUACUUUCCUUAAACUCAGGAUAUUUUUGGUGCCCAGAACUGCAGGAAUGGCCACAAGAGGGCACAGCUAUUGCUUGAAAACGUUGGGAUCAACCAAAGCAUCUUUCCCAGCCUGAGAUGCAAAAUCAUCUCUAACCAUUUCUCUGCAUGUUCUGAGGUGCAACAAGGAAUUGCAUUGCAAAUCCGUUUUAGUUAAUAGUGUAUUGUGUAUCUAUAGACACAUGUAUAUUUGCUAAUAGUUAGAUCAUCCUUUUGCACCUUCUUUCCUGAAAUUUUCUGCCAAUUUGCAAGCCUAUCCAGCUUCAUAGGCUAAAUCUCCUAAUUACCUAGGUAUAAACUGUAUCAAUUAAAUCCUAGAAGGGAAACAAUAGCAAAGUCCUUAUUGACAUCCAUUUAUAUUCCGUUUUUGAAACAACACUUCUUGUUUCAACAACAUUGCACUUCUGCAAUGUGUAUAAUCGUGGUUUCCCUGUCAUCAUCUGAUCAUCUCUGGCUAAAACACUUGUUUUUACUUGGUAUGGUAAGAUUUAGGCCUGGAGGCUUUGAGACCUUCUGCAGAGCUCUGAGAAUUACACAGUUCUAAUGUAAUUAUGUAAAAACAAUCCUAAUUGCUUUCAGUGCAAAGUGAGAAUGUAACGUUUCGUUCUCUGACAUCACUAAAUGCAUGUCCUAAAAGAAUUUUUACAGUUCAUUUCUUCCAUUUGUUACCACUAUUUGAACUAUUCUCUGACAUCACUAAAUGCAUGCCCUAAAAGAAUUUUUACAGUCCAUUUCUUCCAUUUGUUACCACUAUUUGAACUGUCAUGUAGAUCAUAUGAUGUUUUUUAGGAAUAUUACUCAAUUGUCAUGUAGAUCAUAUGAUGUUUUUUAGGCAUAUUACUCAAUGAAAUUUUUUUCUUAUUAGGAAUGAUUUGCCAGGUUUCAGGGACUUCUGAAUAUCUACUGUUACAAUUUGAAAAGUUAAGGAUUGAAGGAAUGCAGGAUGCUUGUUUUAGCUCCAUGUAAUUGGCUUAAUGCCAAAUUCAUGUUGUACCAUCAGUCAAUCAUUCAAUUAUCAUCUAGUUUGGGUUGUUUCCCUUUUUUGUCGUCUGGGAUUUUGCUACCAAGGAAAUAUCAGCGAAGCACUGUUAGUCAUGUCAGGCAGGAAAUCACUUUGCUCAGGGCAGGGUGCACUAAAAGUAGGUGUGAGCAUAUGCAGAUCCAGCAGCAGCAGGCUGGUGGCAGUCCUUGCAUGGUGGAGUUACAAGAUCAUCUGUGGUGGCAGCCCUGUGUCUGUUUCCUUUGUUUUAUCCCUUUUGUGCUUGGAACAAGGGAUCCGUGGUGAUAUUUAAAUAUCAGGGUUUCAUUGUGCAGUGAGGUGUCUCUGUGCAUUUUGCAAUUUUACUUUGGAUGCCUUUUUUGGUUCCAUAACUCAAGCCCUAUAUUGGUUAACUUUGGCUUUUAAAUUUAAUAAGCAAAGCCAUGAAAAUGAUAGGCAGCAUUUUGACAGAAAGCACCUGGGCAGAAAAGGGCCUGGUGGUUCCCUGGACCACAAGCUGACCAGGAGCCACAGAUGAUCCCACAGCCUGGAGAACAGCCUUACCAGUCUAAAGUUCAAAGUGUAACAAGAGUGGGCUUCCAAUUCCCUCCCUUUCUCCCUUUUUUUUUUUUUUUAAUUACCUUUUAACAAACUGGUUUGCUCACAGUGUACCUAUGUGACCUUUGUAUCAGCUACUCACUGAAAGUGAAUGAUGUCACAUCCCUUUUCUCUCCUGUACGCUCUCCGUUCCUUUUUCAGAAGAAGGAAGUGCCAGACCAUAGAGUUGUAGGCAUCCUCACAGACUUUAGUUUGUUAAACAUCUUUUCAGCUGAGCAGGGAAUUCUGUGAUGUCUUGAAAGCAGGGACAGGUGAGUUUCAUGCCUUCUCUACAGCACUGGCUCUGUCCUACCAAACUCGUGCUUCUUUCUCUUCUACAGCUUAGAAAAUGAUUUACAGGGUUAACCCAGCUGCGAUGUGGAGGGUGGGGAAUGUAAAGGGUUAGAGGUAGGGUUAGGGUUAGGCAGGGUGGGCAGGGUUUUGCUGCCUGUAGCACUGGCAGCACGUGCUCGCAUUUCCGUGCAGGAGGAGAAAACCUUUUGGGGAUCCGGAGCUGAUCAUUUCUCUAUGUGCCAGCUGGGUUCUCCGUCCCGUUCCCUGCGUAUUUGGUUUCCUCCUCACAGAGUUUUUUGCAUAUGUGUCUCAAGUUCAGAAGGACUGAAGUUCCAGAGGGUGACAGAUGAGGUUUCUAAUGGUGUUCCCAGAGUUUGUUGUGCAC
Molecule: long non-coding RNA, 5162 nt
Filed under: Ficedula albicollis (Collared flycatcher)
Lineage: Eukaryota; Metazoa; Chordata; Aves; Passeriformes; Muscicapidae
Description: lncRNA (ENSFALG00000025459.1)
Source: RNAcentral